CCUUCUUCCACUCUUCUUUCCUUUUACUCUUCUUUCCUUUCUUCUUUCCUUCUUUCACUCUUCUUUCUUUUCUUCUUCCUUUCUUAACUUUUGCAUUUCAUGCACUGGUAUUUCCUUCAGGAAAUGCAUUUUCUAGUUUAAAAUGGUAGCUUUCUUAUAUCCGAUUAGAGGAAGUGCACGGUCCUAUGCGGCCCUCUGGUAGCUAUGAAGAAAAAUUGUGGCCCUCUCCAUCAUUAAAGUUGCCCAUCCUUGGUGUAAAGAGUUGGGCCUCUAUAUACAGUCGAUGAUCUACGACACCCACUGGGAUCCCCAGAGAUGAAUGCGAAUUUCUUGCUAUGGUUCAAGAGCUUCUCUAGCCACUCCACGCAAACGAAUAAUGUAUGUUUUGAAGAAAGAAGAAGAAACACUACAAAGGACAAAAUGGAAUGUCAAUCCUACAAAUGACCUCUAGAGGACGCUCUUGCAAUAGUAUUGAGGAGUGGAGUUAUAGAAGUUUCCGAAUUCAGCACUUCUCAUAUCCACUCAGUGUCAGUGUGACUGGACUGGAGGUCAGAGGAGUCCGUGGGCAUUCUUCUCUUCCGUCAAGACAGAUGAAAGGGGGUGCAGCAGAGCAGUUGCACCAUCAGAGGAAGGUGUGAGUGAGGAGUCAGAUGACAAGGAACCUAGAGGAGAAACUGGACACAAAGCCCUGGCCUGUACUGCGUCAGAGGGCCAGCUGAGCUCUUGCGGCCGGGCCGAGUGCCAGGAGCCAGCUGGGAGAAGGAGGAGUGUUAUGGGACGGAGCGGCGAAGAUGACAGCAGGACAGGAGGCGACACACCUGUGGCUCUGUCACGCCACCACACCGACCUCCCUCACCCCCCACCCC
Molecule: long non-coding RNA, 866 nt
Organism: Clupea harengus (Atlantic herring)
Lineage: Eukaryota; Metazoa; Chordata; Actinopteri; Clupeiformes; Clupeidae
Source: Ensembl